RNAcentral lists this ribosomal RNA (512 nucleotides) under uncultured bacterium. RNAcentral's name for it is "partial 16S ribosomal RNA". It matches the Rfam family "Bacterial small subunit ribosomal RNA", at positions 28 to 507 of the family's 1533-position model. The record is from RNAcentral.
GACGAACGCUGGCGGCGUGCCUAAUACAUGCAAGUCGAGCGAGCGGAACUAACAGAUUUACUUCGGUAAUGACGUUAGGAAAGCGAGCGGCGGAUGGGUGAGUAACACGUGGGGAACCUGCCCCAUAGUCUGGGAUACCACUUGGAAACAGGUGCUAAUACCGGAUAAGAAAGCAGAUCGCAUGAUCAGCUUUUAAAAGGCGGCGUAAGCUGUCGCUCUGGGAUGGCCCCGCGGUGCAUUAGCUAGUUGGUAAGGUAAAGGCUUACCAAGGUGAUGAUGCAUAGCCGAGUUGAGAGCCUCGUCGGCCAGAUUGGGACUGAGACACGGCCCAAACUCCUACGGGAGGCAGCAGUAGGGAAUCUUCCACAAUGGACGCAAGUCUGAUGGAGCAACGCCGCGUGAGUGAAGAAGGUUUUCGGAUCGUAAAGCUCUGUUGUUGGUGAAGAAGGAUAGAGGUAGUAACUGGCCUUUAUUUGACGGUAAUCAACCAGAAAGACACGGCUAACUACGUG